RNAcentral lists this transfer RNA (141 nucleotides) under Armatimonadota bacterium. RNAcentral's name for it is "Armatimonadetes bacterium tRNA-OTHER". It matches the Rfam family "tRNA". From Rfam's summary of the family: Transfer RNA (tRNA) molecules are approximately 80 nucleotides in length. Their secondary structure includes four short double-helical elements and three loops (D, anti-codon, and T loops). Lineage: Bacteria; Bacillati; Armatimonadota. The record is from RNAcentral.
UGCGGCGUGGCUUAGUAGUAGAGCGUCUGAUUCCGGCGCAAGCCGGGUUUUCGACCUCGCCUUCUUAUCCGAGUGUUUCGGGUCGUUAGAAGUCGGUUAUCUUGGCUCAGAAGGUCGCGGGUGCAACUCCUGCCGCCGCAU